Non-coding RNA from Pelobates cultripes (western spadefoot toad), 221 nucleotides. Lineage: Eukaryota; Metazoa; Chordata; Amphibia; Anura; Pelobatidae. The record is from the annotation of a GenBank genome assembly.
GUUUUCCCUCUUGAAUGCACUGCUGGGGAUUGAAGAAUAGAGGGAAUAGCUGGCAGGUUAUGUGCACGAUGGUACAAAUCAAUAGUUUUCAUCACUUGAAGUAGCCCAGGGGAAUGUCGCAGAGUGGUGGGUUAUAACUUAGAGUAUGCAGCUGACACGCAGUCUCCUGUAUAACAAAAUAACUCUGCCAUCCUCACUUCCAGGCAGAUUGCAAACCGGAU